RNAcentral lists this unclassified non-coding RNA (328 nucleotides) under fungal sp. Its description in RNAcentral is "partial internal transcribed spacer region". The stretch from base 1 to 46 matches the Rfam family "Eukaryotic small subunit ribosomal RNA", at positions 1786 to 1831 of the family's 1831-position model. The record is from RNAcentral. Lineage: Eukaryota; Fungi.
AAGUCGUAACAAGGUAACCGUAGGUGAACCUGCGGUUGGAUCAUUAUUGAUUUCUGGUCAUUGGGUUUCAAAGUCCGCUUCGGCGUCGACUUCCCUUUGGCUAACCACCCCUUGUGCAAACAUUAUUGUAUUUUGGGUUUGUUAUUAUGUAAUCGAACUUGUCGAGCUGUUGAGUGUAUGUUUACAAUUUCUGUUUACACACUCUUGACUGUCGCCAGUAGUAGAUUAUUGAACCCAAACCCAGCAAACAUUCAAACCAUUUUAAAUUUGUCUGAAACCUAGAUUAAAAUCUAAAGUACAACUUUUGACAACGGAUCUCUAGGCUCUC